RNAcentral lists this ribosomal RNA (491 nucleotides) under uncultured bacterium. Its description in RNAcentral is "partial 16S ribosomal RNA". It matches the Rfam family "Bacterial small subunit ribosomal RNA", at positions 29 to 506 of the family's 1533-position model. The record is from RNAcentral.
AGUGAACGCUGGCGGUAGGCCUAACACAUGCAAGUCGAACGGCAGCACAGUAAGAGCUUGCUCUUACGGGUGGCGAGUGGCGGACGGGUGAGGAAUACAUCGGAAUCUACUUUUUCGUGGGGGAUAACGUAGGGAAACUUACGCUAAUACCGCAUACGACCUACGGGUGAAAGCAGGGGAUCUUCGGACCUUGCGCGAUUGAAUGAGCCGAUGUCGGAUUAGCUAGUUGGCGGGGUAAAGGCCCACCAAGGCGACGAUCCGUAGCUGGUCUGAGAGGAUGAUCGGCACCCUUGGAACGGGAACGCGGUCCAGCCCCCACCGGGGGGAACGAGGGGGGAAUUUUGGGAAAGGGGCGCAAGCCUGAUCCAGCCAUCCCGGGGGGGGGAAGAGGGCCUUGGGGUGUGAAAGCCCUUUUUUUGGGAAAAAAAAGCAGCAGGUUAAUACCCCGCUGUUUGGCCGGAACCCAAAAAAUAAGCCCGGGUAAACUUCGG